AACUCCAAGAGUGUAUCUUAAUGUUGCUGCAGUUAAAAAGCUCGUAGUUGAACUUCUGGUUGUUGAAAAUUCUUUUAGUUUUUUCGACAAUCAUCCGCUCGGAGAAGUAUAAUUUCCUUCAAAAGAAUUUAUACAGACCCAGCAUUUUACUUUGAAGAAAUUAGAGUGUUCCUGGCAGGCUCAGCUUGCAUAUAUUAGCAUGGAAUAAUGGAAUAGGACCUUUUCUGUUUUAUUGGUUGACAGAUAGGUAAUGAUUAACAGGGACAGUCGGGGGCAUUCGUACUCAGUGGCUAGAGGUAAAAUUCUGUGAUUCGCUGAAGACGAACUAAUGCGAAAGCAUUUGCCAAGGAUGUUUUCA
Molecule: ribosomal RNA, 358 nt
Filed under: uncultured eukaryote
Lineage: Eukaryota
Description: SSU rRNA
Rfam family: Eukaryotic small subunit ribosomal RNA
Source: RNAcentral